Molecule: long non-coding RNA, 585 nt
Filed under: Anas platyrhynchos platyrhynchos (common mallard)
Lineage: Eukaryota; Metazoa; Chordata; Aves; Anseriformes; Anatidae
Description: lncRNA (ENSAPLG00000029945.1)
Source: RNAcentral
UCCAAAACAAAAAGAUUUGUUUGCCAUUUGCAAUUUUUCUUUGUACAAUCUGAUGAUACUCUAGAGCUCUUAUACUCCUCUAAGAUAUUUUCUAUCCUCAUUAUCUUCUAGUUCAGCUCAGUGUUCUGGCCAACUGUCAGAUGGCUGUGAAUGCUGCUGCUAAUGAACUGUAAACUAUCCAGGGAAUAAAAUGUUGGCCUCACAUUUAGUGUGCAGGUUUGUAGAUUUUAUAUAUGGGAUAAGAAAUGGCAUUAUACUUUUUUUUUUUUUCUUUUACAGGUGUUAACACUUAAACACAUUAUCUGUAACACACCAGAGACAAUCACUUAUUUGGCAUGAUGUGUUUCAGUCAAAGAAGGAAGAAGAGAUCAUAAUUCACAACAGGACAGCUGGAAGGACUGCUGAGCCCACUUCCAUUCUCGUGGACACAGUGGCCUGGAAAAAGAACAGAGGAGCUGAGUUUCCUGACAUGACCAAUAUUUUUUUCUCACAAAAUCAAACACAAACAAGGAGAAAAUAGGUAGGGUAGUACCAAAUAAUAAUAAUAAUAAUAAAACAAAUGUCUCUAUGUUCCUUUUGUUUAUA